This 756-nucleotide ribosomal RNA is filed under the name uncultured bacterium. Its description in RNAcentral is "bacterial SSU rRNA". It matches the Rfam family "Bacterial small subunit ribosomal RNA", at positions 8 to 796 of the family's 1533-position model. The record is from RNAcentral.
AGAGUUUGAUCAUGGCUCAGAAUCAACGCUGGCGGCGUGCCUAACACAUGCAAGUCGCACGAGAAAGGGACUUCGGUCCUGAGUACAGUGGCGCACGGGUGAGUAACACGUGAAUCAUCUACCUUCGAGUGGGGAAUAACUGAGAGAAAUCUUAGCUAAUACCGCAUAAUACCUACGGGUCAAAGCAGCAAUGCGCUUGAAGAGGAGUUCGCGGCAGAUUAGUUAGUUGGCGGGGUAAUGGCCCACCAAGACGAUGAUCUGUAUCCGGCCUGAGAGGGCGCACGGACACACUGGAACUGAAACACGGUCCAGACUCCUACGGGAGGCAGCAGUGGGGAAUUUUGCGCAAUGGGGGAAACCCUGACGCAGCAACGCCGCGUGGAGGAUGAAAUCCCUUGGGAUGUAAACUCCUUUCGAUCGGGAAGAUAAUGACGGUACCGAGAGAAGAAGCCCCGGCUAACUUCGUGCCAGCAGCCGCGGUAAUACGAGGGGGGCAAGCGUUGUUCGGAAUUAUUGGGCGUAAAGGGUGCGUAGGCGGUUUGAUAAGUUUGAUGUGAAAUCUCUGGGCUCAACCCAGAGUCUGCAUCGAAAACUGUCGGGCUUGAGUAUGGGAGAGGUGAGUGGAAUUUCCGGUGUAGCGGUGAAAUGCGUAGAUAUCGGAAGGAACACCUGUGGCGAAAGCGGCUCACUGGACCAUUACUGACGCUGAUGCACGAAAGCUAGGGGAGCAAACAGGAUUAGAUACCCUAGUAGUCC